Hevea brasiliensis (rubber tree) is the source of this 800-nucleotide RNA transcript. RefSeq lists it as uncharacterized. NCBI's taxonomy places the organism in Eukaryota, Viridiplantae, Streptophyta, Magnoliopsida, Malpighiales, Euphorbiaceae. The transcript has 4 exons. The record is from RefSeq and is a predicted model, not a curated record.
UCGGACCCAGUCGAAUCCGACGAUUCAAGACACUGACGAUUUUAAGACAAUGGAUUUUUGCUCUUCGCAUUCAUCGUCUCGGAGACUCGCAGUUAACGACGUAAAUUAUCAACUGUCGCUGCCUUGAUUAGAUCACGUUGUUCACAGGUUUGAGAGCCAUGAACUGGGUUCAGCGCAAGAUCUAUCUGUAUAAUGUCACUUUUGGUCUCUACAUGUUGGAUUGGUGGGAGCGUUCCCUUUUCAAUACUUUGGUGAUCGUGCUGAUGUGGUUCAUUUUCUACAAUGGGUCGCGAUAUGUGACCGAGUUCUGUAAGAGGCAUCUAUGGUGAAGCUCAAACUCAGACGUCAAUUUGGAUGAUCAAAAUUAUAAUGGUCAUGUAGAAUGUUUGAGCGUUGCCGUGAAUAUCAAAUCCAUUUGCUUGAAAAUUUCCCUUGUAGUCUUCCUACAUCAUAGUGUACACCUUACUUUGGUUCUUUCCUUUAUUCAAUUAUCCUGUGUAAUGUUGAUGAUGUCCUGCUUCUAUCCUGAAGGAGGACGGUCAAAGCACAUAUAAAACAACAUGUUCAGUGAAGGAAACUCUACUGUAGAAAUUACAUAGAUAAUAUUUAGUAUUAAGUUGUGCUAUUUUAUUGUUUUAGAUGGAGUUGAGUACAUAAAUUAGAUUCAAGCCAUGUGAUUUUUUGAAAUUAACUUUCAUAUUUGUUAUAAUGUCUAUAAAAAACAAAAGUUUGAUUUUCUUUCUAAAAAAUGACAAAAUAAAAUAAAAAAGCUGUGUACGGUGAUUUGGCUUUGUCUAUAA